AGCCUGAUCCAGCCAUCCCGCGUGAAGGACGACGCCCUAUGGGUGUAAACUCUUUUGUACAGGGAUAAACCUUUCCACGUGUGGGAAGCUGAAGGUACUGUACGAAUAAGCACCGGCUAACUCCGUGCCAGCAGCCGCGGUAAUACGGAGGGUGCAAGCGUUAUCCGGAUUUAUUGGGUUUAAAGGGUCCGUAGGCGGACUCGUAAGUCAGUGGUGAAAUCUCACAGCUUAACUGUGAAACUGCCAUUGAUACUGCGGGUCUUGAGUGUUGUUGAAGUAGCUGGAAUAAGUAGUGUAGCGGUGAAAUGCAUAGAUAUUACUUAGAACACCAAUUGCGAAGGCAGGUUACUAAGCAACAACUGACGCUGAUGGACGAAAGCGUGGGGAGCGAACAGGAUUAGAUACCCUGGUAGUCCACGCCGUAAACGAUGCUAACUCGUUUUUGGGUCUUUAAGAUUCAGAGACUAAGCGAAAGUGAUAAGUUAGCCACCUGGGGAGUACGUUCGCAAGAAUGAAACUCAAAGGAAUUGACGGGGGCCCGCACAAGCGGUGGAUUAUGUGGUUUAAUUCGAUGAUACGCGAGGAACCUUACCAAGGCUUAAAUGGGAAUUGAUUGGUUUAGAAAUAGACCGUCCUUCGGGCAAUUUUCAAGGUGCUGCAUGGUUGUCGUCAGCUCGUGCCGUGAGGUGUUAGGUUAAGUCCUGCAACGAGCGCAACCCCUGUCACUAGUUGCCAUCAUUCAGUUGGGGACUCUAGUGAGACUGCCUACGCAAGUAGAGAGGAAGGUGGGGAUGACGUCAAAUCAUCACGGCCCUUACGCCUUGGGCCACACACGUAAUACAAUGGCCGGUACAGAGGGCAGCUACACAGCGAUGUGAUGCAAAUCUCGAAAGCCGGUCUCAGUUCGGAUUGGAGUCUGCAACUCGACUCUAUGAAGCUGGAAUCGCUAGUAAUCGCGCAUCAGCCAUGGCGC
RNAcentral lists this ribosomal RNA (973 nucleotides) under Chryseobacterium lathyri. Its description in RNAcentral is "bacterial SSU rRNA". It matches the Rfam family "Bacterial small subunit ribosomal RNA", at positions 380 to 1360 of the family's 1533-position model. Lineage: Bacteria; Pseudomonadati; Bacteroidota; Flavobacteriia; Flavobacteriales; Weeksellaceae. The record is from RNAcentral.